GUAUAUUAUCAAAUCUGUUCUACAUCAGGAAUAGAUUACAUCUGCUGUAUAUGCAAAAAACAAUUGAGAAUUUUCGGUCGUCAAAGCUCUUCAACGUCGUACUUUUUUUCAGAUUCGAGCGUAACUAAUGAGUCUUUUGUAGACGAAACGCACGUCUGACGCACAAUAUAAUCCUGGUAUCUAUGAUGGAUAGCUUUUUACUUCAACAAGUAAAAUGAAAUUUAAAAAAUAUAAUUAUGACACAAACAUCUGCCCUGGACAUAUUGAAAUGAUAUACAGUGCUCUGCAUUUCCCGUUUGAUCACAGUAUUUGUUAAAUAUAUUAUCAUCUUUUUGUACUUGUAUAUAUUCAUGUGCACAUGUUCGUCCCUUUUACCAUAGAACACCGUUAAAGGAUUGCCCAAAUUGGCAACAGAUAAUUAUUCAUGUUGUUUGUUGUCUAAGCUUUUACUGAAAAUUGUCAAUUGACAGGCUGAAGUACAGCUAAGUAAAAUAACUGUGUAAAAGAUCUAGGCCACCAAUUUGAAAAUGACACUUGGUUUUAAUCGCAAUUAUAUUAAAUUUCGGACGGAAAAAGGGAGCAGGAUAUGGUUUGUUUCUAUAUUGUAUAUCACGCAUUUAAUACUAAAGCCUUAUUUCCAAUAAUUUUUACUCCUCAAUACCAAGAUUAUUUCGAGUUGUGUCUCUUAGACAAUGAACCUUACUGUUCGAUUUUUUUUUAAUUUGUCUUUAGCUGUCCGGUUGGAAACUCUAGAGCACUCACAUUGCAUGAUGGAGAAACAUUAAAAAAAAAAGACAAUGCAGAUGACUAAAUGUCCUGAAAUGGUCUAGUUUCAAUACUAUUAUCAAUUUAUGACCGUUUAAAAAACGAUAAAUUGCAACUUCUGAAAAGGUUUUUAUUAACGUUAGAAAAUACGAUGCUCAAACCCAUAUUUAAGUAGAUUGUACAAUCUCUGUAUCAAGUAAUGAAUAAUUGGUGCAUUGAAGAAGUCGAACUUACAUAUUACUACAUUUGGUAUGAAAUGUGUAUAUGUAACCUUAUUGUUCAAGAUUAAGUUACAACAUCCGUUU
RNAcentral lists this long non-coding RNA (1070 nucleotides) under Mytilus galloprovincialis (Mediterranean mussel). Lineage: Eukaryota; Metazoa; Mollusca; Bivalvia; Mytilida; Mytilidae. The record is from RNAcentral.